RNAcentral lists this ribosomal RNA (439 nucleotides) under uncultured bacterium. Its description in RNAcentral is "partial 16S ribosomal RNA". It matches the Rfam family "Bacterial small subunit ribosomal RNA", at positions 339 to 795 of the family's 1533-position model. The record is from RNAcentral.
CUACGGGCCGCUGCAGUGGGGAAUAUUGGACAAUGGGCGAAAGCCUGAUCCAGCAAUACCGCGUGGACGAUGAAGGCCUUAGGGUUGUAAAGUCCUUUCAAUAGGGAAGAUAAUGACGGUACCUAUAGAAGAAGCACCGGCUAACUCCGUGCCAGCAGCCGCGGUAAUACGGAGGGUGCUAGCGUUGUUCGGAAUUAUUGGGCGUAAAGCGUACGUAGGCUGUUUCGUAAGUCAGUUGUGAAAUCCCAGAGCUUAACUCUGGAACUGCAAUUGAAACUACGGGACUAGAGUGUAAUUGGAGAUGGCAGAAUUUCUAGUGUAGGGGUGAAAUCCGUAGAUAUUAGAAGGAAUACCAGUGGUGAAGACGGCUAUCUUGGUUACAACUGACGCUAAGGUACGAAGGUGUGGGUAGCGAACGGGAUUAGAUACCCCAGUAGUC